CGUGGGGUGGAGCAAUUAGGAAGCUCGUCGGGCUCAUAACCCGGAGGUUGUCGGUUCGAAUCCGGCCCCCGCAACCA
RNAcentral lists this transfer RNA (77 nucleotides) under Candidatus Bipolaricaulota bacterium. Its description in RNAcentral is "tRNA-Met". It matches the Rfam family "tRNA". Rfam says of the family: Transfer RNA (tRNA) molecules are approximately 80 nucleotides in length. Their secondary structure includes four short double-helical elements and three loops (D, anti-codon, and T loops). Further hydrogen bonds mediate the characteristic L-shaped molecular structure. tRNAs have two regions of fundamental functional importance: the anti-codon, which is responsible for specific mRNA codon recognition, and the 3' end, to which the tRNAs corresponding amino acid is attached (by aminoacyl-tRNA synthetases). tRNAs cope with the degeneracy of the genetic code in two manners: having more than one tRNA (with a specific anti-codon) for a particular amino acid; and 'wobble' base-pairing, i.e. permitting non-standard base-pairing at the 3rd anti-codon position. The record is from RNAcentral. Lineage: Bacteria; Candidatus Bipolaricaulota.